CAGCAGCCACGGGAAUACGAAGGGGGCUAGCGUUGCUCGGAAUCACUGGGCGUAAAGGGUGCGUAGGCGGGUCUUUAAGUCAGGGGUGAAAUCCUGGAGCUCAACUCCAGAACUGCCUUUGAUACUGAAGAUCUUGAGUUCGGGAGAGGUGAGUGGAACUGCGAGUGUAGAGGUGAAAUUCGUAGAUAUUCGCAAGAACACCAGUGGCGAAGGCGGCUCACUGGCCCGAUACUGACGCUGAGGCACGAAAGCGUGGGGAGCAAACAGGAUUAGAUACCCCUGUAGUCCCUGUCUCUUAUAC
This 301-nucleotide ribosomal RNA is filed under the name uncultured bacterium. Its description in RNAcentral is "partial 16S ribosomal RNA". It matches the Rfam family "Bacterial small subunit ribosomal RNA", at positions 509 to 807 of the family's 1533-position model. The record is from RNAcentral.